RNAcentral lists this ribosomal RNA (303 nucleotides) under uncultured bacterium. RNAcentral's name for it is "partial 16S ribosomal RNA". It matches the Rfam family "Bacterial small subunit ribosomal RNA", at positions 507 to 807 of the family's 1533-position model. The record is from RNAcentral.
AGCAGUAGCCACGGUAAUACGUAGGUGGCAAGCGUUGUCCGGAAUUAUUGGGCGUAAAGGGCUCGCAGGCGGUUCCUUAAGUCUGAUGUGAAAGCCCCCGGCUCAACCGGGGAGGGUCAUUGGAAACUGGGAAACUUGAGUGCAGAAGAGGAGAGUGGAAUUCCACGUGUGGCGGUGAAAUGCGUAGAGAUGUGGAGGAACACCAGUGGCGAAGGCGACUCUCUGGUCUGUAACUGACGCUGGGGAGCGAAAGCGUGGGGAGCGAACAGGAUUAGAUACCCCCGUAGUCCCUGUCUCUUAUAC